RNAcentral lists this ribosomal RNA (245 nucleotides) under uncultured bacterium. RNAcentral's name for it is "partial small subunit ribosomal RNA". It matches the Rfam family "Bacterial small subunit ribosomal RNA", at positions 26 to 285 of the family's 1533-position model. The record is from RNAcentral.
AGGAUCAACGCUGGCGGCGUGCCUAACACAUGCAAGUCGCACGAGAAAGGGACUUCGGUCCUGAGUACAGUGGCGCACGGGUGAGUAACACGUGAAUAAUCUACCUCCGAGUGGGGAAUAAACUGAGAGAAAUCUUAGCUAAUACCGCAUAACACUUACGAGUCAAAGCAGCAAUGCGCUUGGAGAGGAGUUCGCGGCAGAUUAGUUAGUUGCGGGGUAAUGGCCCACCAAGACGAUGAUCUGUA